GUUUACAUAUAUGCAAUGAAAGGUUUUAUGCACUCAGAACCCAUUUCUAACUCCAAUUCAACGAUUCCUACACUCACAACCCAUUAAUUAACAAAACCUAACUUCUCCCAAUUCCCACAUAAACCUGUUAAAAACAAAAUCAGAAUUCAGAACCUAUAAGAUUGCGGUAAACCUCACCCUUACCUUAGAAUUGCAGAAAUAACGCAACAGAAAUUGGUUCCUAAGCUCCUCUCCCUUGCUCUUGGCUUUUCUCCCAAAACUUGUCUGUUUUCACGUAAAAACGUUUCUCUGGUUUUUCCUUUCUUAACUCCCAAAUUGUAACUCCCUUAAUUAGCAAUUAACUCCCCACUAACUAUAUUAUUUAUGACAUAACCCCCAAAACUCUAAUUAAUUAUAUUCUCCACUUAUUCUAAUUAUUUAAUAAAAUAAAU
Molecule: long non-coding RNA, 431 nt
Filed under: Medicago truncatula (barrel medic)
Lineage: Eukaryota; Viridiplantae; Streptophyta; Magnoliopsida; Fabales; Fabaceae
Description: long non-coding RNA (MTRU_LNC000375)
Source: RNAcentral